UGGGGAAUAUUGCACAAUGGGCGCAAGCCUGAUGCAGCCAUGCCGCGUGUAUGAAGAAGGCCUUCGGGUUGUAAAGUACUUUCAGCGGGGAGGAAGGGAGUAAAGUUAAUACCUUUGCUCAUUGACGUUACCGACAGAAGAAGCACCGGCUAACUCCGUGCCAGCAGCCGCGGUAAUACGGAGGGUGCAAGCGUUAAUCGGAAUUACUGGGCGUAAAGCGCACGCAGGCGGUUGAUUGAGUCAGAUGUGAAAUCCCCGGGCUUAACCCGGGAAUUGCAUCUGAUACUGGUCAGCUAGAGUCUUGUAGAGGGGGGUAGAAUUCCAUGUGUAGCGGUGAAAUGCGUAGAGAUGUGGAGGAAUACCGGUGGCGAAGGCGGCCCCCUGGACGAAGACUGACGCUCAGGUGCGAAAGCGUGGGGAGCAAACAGG
This 429-nucleotide ribosomal RNA is filed under the name Chloroflexota bacterium. Its description in RNAcentral is "Chloroflexi bacterium partial 16S ribosomal RNA". It matches the Rfam family "Bacterial small subunit ribosomal RNA", at positions 355 to 776 of the family's 1533-position model. Lineage: Bacteria; Bacillati; Chloroflexota. The record is from RNAcentral.